Molecule: long non-coding RNA, 782 nt
Organism: Rhea pennata
Lineage: Eukaryota; Metazoa; Chordata; Aves; Rheiformes; Rheidae
Exons: 5
Source: RefSeq, a predicted model, not a curated record
ACCUACUUGAUACUGAAGUCUAAAAAGCUGUGUGCAGAAGGACUACAAGGAAUGGAUGGAUUAAACAAGACACAUUUCCUUUCCUUUUUUGGAGGGGAAAAUGUUCCCCACUUGUUCUCCUAUCUGCUAACUUAUGAGGCAGUAGGGGCAUAGAGGAAAUCACCUGCCAGGGCUCCAACUUCAGACCAACUUAGAAGCUUUACAGAUGAAUGGCUUUCUGUUCCAGGAAUUUCCUCAAGCCCCUUCUUUCACUGCAGUUAUAGGAUGUUCCCAGGAACCAGCCAAGUGGAACCAAUCAAGAGACUCUCCCACCGAGUGAAACCAAUCAAAACCCCCCAAACUUAGUGUUCACAGAAGUAACUAGACCCUUGUAACCGUUUGGUUUUUUUUCCCCCAAAUUGGCCUAAGAAAUUGAACAUAAGCUUCUCCACAACACUAUACUGAUGGUUUUCACUGGAACUUGAGAGGAACCAUCGCACAGUGAAAAUCCAUGCGUCUCAACAGCCUAGUUGGAAAGAAGAAGACAGAGCUAACACCUUCGUAGAAUCAAAACAAAAUAUCACCUGUUUGUAUUGAGAGGCCUGGGUCUAGAUCAGGAGUUAAGUAAUGGUGCAAAGCGAUCCUCUUUACCACGAGAGAUGGAAGCCCUGAGAUAUUACAUAUACUCAAAGAAAUAACAAAUCCUAGAUUUAAUGGAUUUAAAUCAUGCUGCUGCUAGAAAGCCAUCUCAUUCUGGUAGAUAAAUUAUGUGGUAAAGUAGUGUUGAUUUUGGGCAGAACAAU